ACUACACAGCCAGCCUCAUCUCGGCGGAUUUGUACCAAGCCCACAGAAUCCAGCCCAUGGCAGGGCCUCGAAGGACAGACCUUUGUGUGGGAAGAAUUAGGAGACUUUCAGUCUGCUGGGCCCUGAAAGCCAGCCAGGAGAAGAUUCCUCACUUCAUGCUUGUGCUUGUUACUGAACAUUAUUGCCUCUGAAUGAUGUCCUGAUCACACGCUGAAACCGACCUGACCACCCAGUGUGAAAUUUUUAUUUGGGAUUCAAGAGACAAGAUGAACCCUCUUUCAGAGCUCCCUGCCAAUUUCUGCACUGGCUUUGGGGUGACAGAUCUGGAAGCAGCAGUUAACAAACUUUUCCAUUUUCAUUCCCCUCGAGGACUAGCCCCUGCCUUCAUCCCAAGGGUCCCUAAUGAGAAGCUUUAGACAUUGCCUCCACUGCUAUUUUCUAUGUGCUGUUUUCUGGGUGAAACCAGGGGCGAACACUUGCUAAGGAGACCCAUGGAAGCUGUGUGGAGUCCCCCUGUUUCCUUCUUAGGACUCUGGACUGGCAGCUGCUAAGUGAGAGCUCAAAAGAAUAUGGAAGUUGAGGUCAUUUCUAGUCUCAUGCCUGACUCUCCUUCAAGGAGAAGAGAAAGAAGCCCUCUUGGGCCCAAGCUGGCCGUCAGGCUGGGGAGCGACACAGCCCCUUUCCCCUCAGGCAGCCUUCUGUGGAUGGAGGGCCUGAGCCCCAGCACAGAGCCAGCAGUCACUCCCCAGACCUCCCUGGCAGUUCAAGGGAUCCAUCAUCAGAACAUGAGCACAGAGUGCUAUGGGAACCUCCCAGCAGCUUUGAUCCCAAACCAUGUUUGUUCUUGGAUUGGCUUGCAGUAGAAGGAGCAGAAUAAUAGCUGUGAGGCCCAAAGCACUGAGGGAAGGGGAAUCCCGUAUCUCUUGGAGCCAAGGGUGAGAAACCUCAGGGCUCAGAGAAGCCUUUACGGCUCUCCAGUCCAGCCUCCCAUGGCCCAACACGUGGCAUCUGGCUUGCACGCCUCUAGAGAUAAGGAGUGCUCUGCUUGAUCCCUCCCUUUUCGCCCGUCCCAUUCCAUCCCAUCCAGAAGCAACUGACUCUCUGAAAGUUCUCCAUUCAAUUCAACAAAAUCCAACAAACCUGUACUGAGUAUCUACUCUGGGCCAGGCACUGUACUAAGCACUGGGGGCAUGGCAGUGAACUCCCAAGAUGUCCAUCCCUUGGUGUCCCAAACGCAACCCUCCUACUACUUCUUCCCUUCUACAGGUAUGCUUAUAUUUGAAAAUAGGCAUCAGGUCCACAGACCCAAGUCUUCUUUGCUGCAGACUUAACAUCCUAUGUCCUGUGCUCUGUUCAUAUUCUUCUUUGUUCAUAUACUUCUGAAAUUUGCAUCCAGAAGGGAAUACACAUGGCCAGCCUAGGAUGGAAGGGGCGUUAAUAGACUUCAUAAUACUGCCCUAUAGCGCGACAGUGCUUCAGCAAGCAUAGCUCAGAAUGUGGAUCAUCCCUCACCCAAAUGCUGCUUUCAUAAUGAAAGACUUUGGCACAUUCCAGCCACAGCGGGCCUCCUGUUAUUCCCCUCCCCUACUCCUGCCCAUCCCCAUCCUGCUUUAUUUGUUUUUAAUAGAUGAGGAAAUCCAGAAAGGUUAAGUAACUAAGUCUUAACUUAGUUUGUGGCAACCCAGGAUUACCAUCUAGAGUUCCUGACUUGGCUGUUAGUCUUUUAGUGAAACUAAUAUCUAAAAAUUAAGAAAGGAAUGAGAUACACCCACACACAGAGCAAAACAGCAUAUCUUGAAUUUCAUUCCUGCCUCCAACUAACACUCGUAACUCUUGUGAUCAGUAAUUCAUUCCAACAGUUCUGAUUUCUCCAAGGGCGGUUCGACAUAUAUUGAUAGUGGCAAGUAGACAGGAUCUGGAGUCUCCCUGGGAGAAAGCAGUUCUUUAGAAGUUCUGCCUGACUGAGCUGCCGCAAAUGCUCCUCCUGGACGGUGCCUGGAAUUCUGGAUUACAUUUUUUCAGUUCCACAUCCCCUUCCCGGCCUCCCAAAGGGUAGGACAAGUGCAGGCUGGGGUUGUGAGAUCCACGUGUCGGAUAGAGGGAAGACCGUCCCAGUGGCUCCCUGGCGGCUGUGCUGAGGAGGGCUGGCUCGUGUGCUGGAAUUCCCAAAUAAAAACAAACAAAAAAAUCUAUCAUCACAUUGGUGUAGAGUUCUUGCUCCUCAAGAGCUGGAUUUCCUGGAGCCUGUCUCCUCCAGCUACAGCAGACAGCGUUCCCAUGAGUGGCAACUCCAAGUGCCAAAAGAAGAUAGACGGAUAAGCUUGGGAAAUAACUUCUGCAUUCAAGGUGGCCCCCUAGUAUUUAACCUUAGCCUACCUUUGCAAUUUAACUUGUAUGACGUCCUUUCAUGCACCCUGUGUUCCAGCCAAAGUGAACUGUUCAUCCUAUUUGUGCCCGGUGACCACCCUGCCUUUGCUCAAACAAGUCUCUCCCUGGAAUAUCUCCCUGGAAUAUUUGAACUCUUCAUCUCCAUUAGCCUCAUCCUACCUGGCCUUCAGGAUGCAGCUCACAUGCUGCCUCCUGACAUCCUGCCUGAUCUCUGGAAGUGAUGCUCCUUCUUCUGGCCCAUCAAAGGCUUGUCUCAUUAUUCAUUCAACAAAUAUUUAUUGAGUCUCUCCUAUGAACUGUUUACUAUUCUAGGUAUUUAGGGAACCUCAGUGAACAAAGAAAGAUCCCUGACUUUGGAGAGUUUACCUUCUGUUAUCUCCCUUAAUUUAUUGCUAAUGCUGGACAAGUCUAGUCAUCCUGACAGACAUUCUGUCACUCAAAAUCAGAUUGAUGUCAUGUUGAUACCUCUAUGUAUCCUUUCAAUGGCUUCUUAUUGCUCUUUGUAUAAAGGCAUCAGUACUGAGCAGUGCCUACUAAACCUUCUAUGGAUCCAACCUCCUUUAUGUCAUUUUUCUCCUAGCAUUCUGAAUUCCAGCUUUCUUUUGGUCUCUUCUACUUACCCUGCCACAGUACCUUUACACAUGCUUUCCUUCUGCAUGGAAUACUCUCUCCUCUUCUCUCCACUUAGUUACCUUCAAAUCUCAACUGAAGCGUUACUUCCUGAGAAGAGCUUCCUUGGCCUCCCUAACUAAAUUAAAUACCUCAACACUUUAUGACAUUAUAGCUGUUAUAUCACUUAUCACAGUUGCUAGUUUUCUUGUUUCUGUGAUUAUUUUACUAAUAUCUAUUUCCUAAUCCAUAUGGUAAGUAACUCAAGGGCAGAAGUGGUGUCUAUUUUGGUUUAUCAUUUGCAGCCCUAGCACAUAGUAGGGAGUAAAUAAUUGUUUGUGGAUUGAAUCAGUGAAUGAAUAUCUGCUAGCUAUCAUAUGCGGCAGAUUAUCCAUGGUUAGCUCAGUUUCACGCAUUCUAUUCUUGCCUGUAUGUUCAUGGUUGUCUGGAUGUCUGUCCUAAUUUGUAUUUCAGAAAAUAUAGCCACUCUGAAUAUGCAGCGUUCUGUGCAUAAAGUGCUCAAUCUAUUUUUGUGAUAGCUUAUUAAAUAAAUAAAUGAAUUCAAAGUUUAGUAGAAUGAGGAGGUUGGCGGGAGUGAGAAUCACAUAUUAGAGGAAAUUUCUGUUAACCAAGGUUGUCAGUGGCAUGUCUCCUCAGAUACGGAUGUACACAUGUCAGAAAGGCUCAUCCAAGGAGGCCCAGGCCUGCCGGAAGUCUGUUUAUAUUGUGUCGGCAAGGGAUAAGGUGGAUCUUGCCAGAUUUGUCUCUUGAGGUCUACAGAGUUUUACCUAAAGACCUUGCAGUCAAUGUAGAAAAUUAGUUAAAAUGGUAAAUAAAGUUUUCUUUUAAGUGAAAGAAAAAGAUAGCAUUGGGUAAUAAUUCUUUCCUCUCUUGCUAUUUGCUCUCUUUAAAAAAAGCAAUAGUAAUAUUUUAAGUUUGUUGAAAAAAGAAAAACAAUUAUCCAUUUACAAAGCAAGUUCACAUGUAUUAGCUUAUUUUUAUUGUAGUAGUUCAGUGAGACUGGUAUCAUUAUUCCCAUUUUUUACAGAUGAGGAAAUUGAGGCUCAGGAUUCUCUGCCCAAGGCUAUGUGGCUCUUGUAUCAGCCAGGGUUGUCUAGGUUAUGCUGCAGUAACAAGAACCCCAAAAUCUCAGUGUGCAACAAAGGUUUAUUUCUUGCUCAUGCUAUUUGUCUGCCGUGUGUUUGCUAUGGGACUCUGCAUCAUGCCUCAUUCAAACAUGCAAUGUUGUUGCCUUUCUACGUGUUCUUCCCUUUACCUGCAAUCCUCUUCUUCCUUCACAUUUUCUUGAAAACUUUCCCUGAAUUUGGCUGAAGAUGGUUCUGAGCCUGAUGUUCACAAGUUCUCUGGACUUAUGCCAUCAGACUCUCCUGCAGUUGAUGUUUUACUUGGCAGUACCCCAAGUCGACUACGUACUUCUUGGAGGAAAGGACUGUGCCUUGGUUAUUUCUGUAUUAUCAGUGCCGUUCAUGGAGUCUGGCUCCAAACAAACAAGUGCUAAUUGAAUGGAGAAGAAUGACUUGAACAUGGUUGAGAGUUUAGCCUGGGAAAAAGCUGAGAAUGACGGGCUAUCCACCACACUCUUUCAAAUAUAGCACUGUAGUUCCAGUAUGAUGUUUAAUUUUGAGAAACUGGACCCUGUGAGGCAUGUCAGGUUGAUUUAUCUGUAAAUUGUAUUCCAGAGUAGUUGAGACAUAUUAAGCUAUUGGUCAAGUUAAGAUUGACCAUUUAAACCCUGAUGAAAACCUACCAAGUACAAUAACUGUUUUUCAGUCUGAUUCAUACAAAGCUUCUUCCUCCUGGCAAUGGUAGAUCAUCAAAACUAACCACAUCUCAAGACCAUUCUGUCUAAAUAAAUUUGAGUAAAAU
This is a long non-coding RNA of Equus caballus (horse), 4884 nucleotides long. NCBI's taxonomy places the organism in Eukaryota, Metazoa, Chordata, Mammalia, Perissodactyla, Equidae. The record is from Ensembl.